AAUGGCCGCGGUAUUUUGACCGUGCGAAGGUAGCAUAAUAAUUAGUUUUUUAAUUAAAAGCUAGAAUGAAAGGUUGGACGAGAAAGUAACUGUCUUUAUUUAAAUUAAUUAUAAAAUUUUAUCUUUAAGUUAAAAAGCUUAAUUAUUGUUAAAAGACGAGAAGACCCUAUAGAGUUUUAUAUUAAUUUAAUUUAUUUUAGUUUAGAAAAUUUUUAUAAUAAUUUAAAUUAGUAUUUAAUUGGGGUGAUUAAAAAAUUUAAGAAACUUUUUGAAAUUUUAAACAUUUAUUUUUGAUUAAUUGAUCCAUUAUAAUGAUUAUAAGAAUAAAUUACCUUAGGGAUAACAGCGUAAUUUUUUUAGAGAGUUCAAAUCGAAAAAAGAGAUUGCGACCUCGAUGUUGGAUUAAAAUAAAUUUUAGGUGUAGAAGCUUAAAUAUUAGGUCUGUUCGACCUUUAAAAUUUUACAUGAUCUGAGUUUAGACCGGCGUGAGCCAGGUUGGUUUCUAUCUUUAAUUUAUUAUAAUAUUUUAGUACGAAAGGACCAAAUAUUAGUAAAAUUUAU
This 561-nucleotide ribosomal RNA is filed under the name Gymnusa variegata. RNAcentral describes it as "partial 16S ribosomal RNA". It matches the Rfam family "Bacterial large subunit ribosomal RNA", at positions 1926 to 2712 of the family's 2925-position model. The record is from RNAcentral. Lineage: Eukaryota; Metazoa; Arthropoda; Insecta; Coleoptera; Staphylinidae.